RNAcentral lists this ribosomal RNA (429 nucleotides) under uncultured bacterium. Its description in RNAcentral is "bacterial SSU rRNA". It matches the Rfam family "Bacterial small subunit ribosomal RNA", at positions 355 to 775 of the family's 1533-position model. The record is from RNAcentral.
UGGGGAAUCUUGGACAAUGGGGGAAACCCUGAUCCAGCGACGCCGCGUGGGUGAUGAAGGCCUUCGGGUCGUAAAGCCCUGUCGGGAGGGACGAAACUCCUGCCGGUAAAUAAUCGGCGAGAUUGACGGUACCUCUAAAGGAAGCACCGGCUAACUCUGUGCCAGCAGCCGCGGUAAGACAGAGGGUGCUAGCGUUGUUCGGAAUUACUGGGCGUAAAGGGCGCGUAGGCGGUCUGUUAAGUUCGGUGUGAAAUCCCCUGGCUCAACUGGGGAACUGCGCUGGAAACUGGCAGACUCGAGUACCGGAGAGGAGAGUGGAAUUCCUGGUGUAGCGGUGAAAUGCGUAGAUAUCAGGAGGAACACCGGUGGCGAAGGCGGCUCUCUGGACGGAUACUGACGCUGAGGCGCGAAAGCGUGGGGAUCAAACAG